This 206-nucleotide ribosomal RNA is filed under the name uncultured bacterium. Its description in RNAcentral is "partial 16S ribosomal RNA". It matches the Rfam family "Bacterial small subunit ribosomal RNA", at positions 568 to 774 of the family's 1533-position model. The record is from RNAcentral.
UGCGUAGGCGGGUUUCUAAGUCAGAGGUGAAAGCCUGGAGCUCAACUCCAGAACUGCCUUUGAUACUGGAAGUCUUGAGUUCGGGAGAGGUGAGUGGAACCGCGAGUGUAGAGGUGAAAUUCGUAGAUAUUCGCAAGAACACCAGUGGCGAAGGCGGCUCACUGGCCCGAUACUGACGCUGAGGCACGAAAGCGUGGGAGCAAACA